UUCUUUUUGAAUUUUUUAGAAAGUCUAGCCUGCCCGAUGCUAUUAGUGAAUGGCCGCAGUAUACUUAACUGUGCUAAGGUAGCAUAAUUGCUUGUCAUUUUAUUGAUGUCUUGUUUGAAAGGUAUUAUGAAGUAGUAUUUUCUGUUCUUUUUUCCCUAAUUUUUAAUUUCAGUAAAAAUACUCAAGUUAGUAAAAAAGACGAGAAGACCCCGUAGAGCUUUAGAAUUUCUUGACGAAAUUCUUUAGAUGGGACGUUGGGUGUUUUUUCAAGGUUUUUUUGAACCUUUUUAGAAAAAAGGUAAAGCUACCUCGGGGAUAACAGGGUAAUUUUUCUUUAGAGUUCUUAUUGAGAGAAAUGUUUGCUACCUCGAUGUUGAAUCGGAAUUUAUCUUUGGUUGUAGAAGCUUUGGUUUUUAUGUCUGUUCGACAUUUAAAAUUCCACG
RNAcentral lists this ribosomal RNA (443 nucleotides) under Prorhynchus sp. IV CEL-2014. Its description in RNAcentral is "partial 16S ribosomal RNA". It matches the Rfam family "Bacterial large subunit ribosomal RNA", at positions 1829 to 2600 of the family's 2925-position model. The record is from RNAcentral. Lineage: Eukaryota; Metazoa; Platyhelminthes; Prorhynchida; Prorhynchidae.